This 466-nucleotide ribosomal RNA is filed under the name uncultured bacterium. RNAcentral's name for it is "partial 16S ribosomal RNA". It matches the Rfam family "Bacterial small subunit ribosomal RNA", at positions 28 to 505 of the family's 1533-position model. The record is from RNAcentral.
GACGAACGCUGGCGGCGUGCUUAACACAUGCAAGUCGAACGGAAAGGCCCUGCUUUUGUGGGGUGCUCGAGUGGCGAACGGGUGAGUAACACGUGAGUAACCUGCCCUUGACUUUGGGAUAACUUCAGGAAACUGGGGCUAAUACCGGAUAGGAGCUCCUGCUGCAUGGUGGGGGUUGGAAAGUUUCGGCGGUUGGGGAUGGACUCGCGGCUUAUCAGCUUGUUGGUGGGGUAGUGGCUUACCAAGGCUUUGACGGGUAGCCGGCCUGAGAGGGUGACCGGCCACAUUGGGACUGAGAUCCGGCCCAGACUCCUACGGGAGGAAGCAGGGGGGAAUAUUGCACAAUGGGCGGAAGCCUGAUGCAGCAACGCCGCGUGCGGGAUGACGGCCUUCGGGUUGUAAACCGCUUUCGCCUGUGACGAAGCGUGAGUGACGGUAAGGGGUAAAGAAGCACCGGCUAACUACG